Molecule: ribosomal RNA, 303 nt
Filed under: uncultured bacterium
Lineage: Bacteria
Description: partial 16S ribosomal RNA
Rfam family: Bacterial small subunit ribosomal RNA
Source: RNAcentral
AGCAGUCGCCACGGGAAUACGUAGGGGGCGAGCGUUGUCCGAAUUUACUGGGCGUAAAGAGCAUUAAGGCGGGUCUUUAAGUGAGAGGUGAAAGGUUCAGGGCUUAACCCGAACACUGCCUUUCAUACUGGGGACCUUGAGUGCGGGAGAGGCGAGUGGAAUUUCUGGUGUAGCGGUGAAAUGCGUAGAUAUCAGAAGGAACACCCAUGGCGAAGGCAGCUCGCUGGCCUGCAACUGACGCUGUAGUGCGAAAGCGUGGGGAGCAAACAGGAUUAGAUACCCCUGUAGUCCCUGUCUCUUAUU